Molecule: transfer RNA, 72 nt
Filed under: Loxodonta africana (African savanna elephant)
Lineage: Eukaryota; Metazoa; Chordata; Mammalia; Proboscidea; Elephantidae
Rfam family: tRNA
About the family: Transfer RNA (tRNA) molecules are approximately 80 nucleotides in length. Their secondary structure includes four short double-helical elements and three loops (D, anti-codon, and T loops).
Source: Rfam by way of RNAcentral
UCCUCGUUAGUAUAGCAGUGAGUAUACCCACCUGUCACGUGGGAGACUGGGGUUCAAUUCCCCGAGGGGGAG